Molecule: long non-coding RNA, 1325 nt
Organism: Toxotes jaculatrix (banded archerfish)
Lineage: Eukaryota; Metazoa; Chordata; Actinopteri; Toxotidae
Exons: 8
Source: RefSeq, a predicted model, not a curated record
UCGACUGCAACCCUGGUGGCAAGGCCGGAAAAUCAAAGGAACCAGAAAAAAAAUCAAGAAAACCAGCACGUAGUGUUGCAGUGAUUAACAAAAGACCAACAUCAGCCAAAGAAGCGCGUAUUCUUUCUAAACGACUUGGGCGGACCAAGUUCUUAGGUCUAGGAGUCAAAGUUGUUGUCUGACUCUACUGCUUGACUACAGCAGUAUUCUAACCCCCCAAAUUCCUCCUGGGCUGACAAACGUCAACAAAGACCCCGAGAGACACCAAAGAGAGGGGAUCAACUCUCAGCCCUGGAGUUCAAGAGGAGUGCACCAUCCAGAAGGCAGCACGCACGGGUGCAAAAAGGCCUGUCCCAAGCCUGAUCCGGUGUCUGACAAAAAUGACUGGAAUUUCAAUUAGAAAGGAGAUCCAUGGCUUCUUUGCUGCCUGUCAUGCCUUCCUGUGUUCGACGCUGGAAUGUGUGCGCCCAGAUGGUCUGAUUGCCACUUCAGAACUCACAAAGUGUUCCAUAUCCAAACUGCAGUGUGGAGAAUUUUAAGUGUAGAGAGUUGGUGGAUGGACUUGGAGGAAGAUGUCAUGCUAAGGAUGGGUUUUGGUGAUGAUGUUGCUGCUGUUGAUGCAGCAUCGAGCUCUCACUUUGUGCCUCUGUCAGCUAUGAUGCGUAACCACAAAGUGAGUGACAGGCCAGUCCCAGGGGAGAGCAAGGGGCCUGAGAAGCACAGGCUCUUUUCAGAGGCGGCGAGGACAACUGACCGUCGUGAAGACACUGCUGGGAGCAGCCCUAUCUGCUCUAAUGGUAGUCACUGACCGUUAGACAUGGCGUUCAAAGACUAGUGGUGCAAGUAUGGAAAUGCAGAUAAGGCAUUGUUGAGGAAACAUGCCUGGGAAUUGUUCAAGGCUUUCCCUUGCAUAAUGUUGGAUGCUUUUGCAAAUGUUUUAAUCUCAAAACCCGUGAAUUUGAUCCUCCGUGAAUCUGAUUCUGAACAGCUCAUAGAACGAGUGGGUGUUUGUUAAGCAAUGCAAAUGAAUAACCUUUGUGAUUAAAUUUGUGAAUAUUUGACAUAUUGCAGCAUUUAUUUAAAACUAUUAUAGUAUGUAUUUCUCUUCUAGGCAAUUUUAGCCAGUAAUGCGUUUGGUUUUUUUGAGGCCUGCAGAGGCUCAGCAUUGAUUGACGGCCACAUUUACUGCUUUAGCCAGGCCUCAGUUGUUUUUUUUUCUGUAUUUUUAGAGCCAAAUAUGAACGCUUUGCUUCAUAUAAACAAGCUAGAAACUUGUUUGUGUAUAAUCUUCAAGCUUUAUUUACUCUUCUUUUGCAGUUUUCAGG